GGUAACCUACCUAUAAGACGUGGGAUAACCGUACCGGGAAACCGGGGCUAAUACCGGAUAAUACAUGAAACCGCAUGGUUUCAUGAUGAAAGACGGUUUUGCUGUCACUUAUAGAUGGACCCGCGGCGUAUUAGCUAGUUGGUAAGGUAACGGCUUACCAAGGCAACGAUACGUAGCCGACCUGAGAGGGUGAUCGGCCACACUGGAACUGAGACACGGUCCAGACUCCUACGGGAGGCAGCAGGC
RNAcentral lists this ribosomal RNA (246 nucleotides) under uncultured Staphylococcus sp. RNAcentral's name for it is "partial 16S ribosomal RNA". It matches the Rfam family "Bacterial small subunit ribosomal RNA", at positions 120 to 354 of the family's 1533-position model. The record is from RNAcentral. Lineage: Bacteria; Bacillati; Bacillota; Bacilli; Caryophanales; Staphylococcaceae.